This 65-nucleotide transfer RNA is filed under the name Cletomorpha raja. Its description in RNAcentral is "tRNA-Thr". Lineage: Eukaryota; Metazoa; Arthropoda; Insecta; Hemiptera; Coreidae. The record is from RNAcentral.
GUUUUAAUAGUUUAAGUAAAAAUAAUGAUCUUGUAAAUCAUAGAUAGAAAAUUACCUUUAAAACU